GAAACACGAGACCCAGAAAAAAGCUUCUAACUUUGCCUCUAAGCGGCGCACCACCGUUUGUGUUUCU
This 67-nucleotide transfer RNA is filed under the name Tropiphorus elevatus. Its description in RNAcentral is "tRNA-Ser". The record is from RNAcentral. Lineage: Eukaryota; Metazoa; Arthropoda; Insecta; Coleoptera; Curculionidae.